ACCUGCAGGGUAUUAUGACAUGGGGAAUGAGAAGCAAGAAUGAGGCACUCACUGUCAGGCUGGAAAUGAGCUCACUAUGGCUCAGGGCCAUGCCUGAAGGAUCAAGAAGCAGACCCCAGCAGAACAAAGGGGGCACCUUUGCAGUGUCUUAUUUUCAUGGAUAACAACAUUAACAUUCAGAGGAAGAUGAAUGAAAUUCAUAGAGCAUACUGAAUCUGUUCUGCUUCUAUUGAACUAAAUGGAACAUUCCAAGGAUUCAAUGGAUGGGACCUUUCUUCUCAGUCAUCCCCAUGAUAACAGCAUAAAGUCACAGAGCUCCACGGGAUUAGGAAGCUCACCAUUGAUUAUUCUCGCUGGCCAGGCAAAGCCUGGACUUUAGGAGCCGGCUAUGGAAAAGUGAGCAAAUAUGGAGAUGGAAACUCUGGGAGAAAUCCAGGGCUCCCCCUCCACCAAACAUCACCCUCUGCUCCCUGAUUCCCAAGACCAAGGAGUGAUGUGUCCAGCUCAUCUUUGGAGCCCAGGCCAUGUUACAAGUCGGGCAAGUCUAUGGAUCCACUGAAAAAGUAAUAAACUAAUAUUCACCUUAUAGAACUAUUUUAGG
RNAcentral lists this long non-coding RNA (601 nucleotides) under Vulpes vulpes (red fox). RNAcentral describes it as "lncRNA (ENSVVUG00000002986.1)". Lineage: Eukaryota; Metazoa; Chordata; Mammalia; Carnivora; Canidae. The record is from RNAcentral.